This 72-nucleotide transfer RNA is filed under the name Candidatus Sericytochromatia bacterium. Its description in RNAcentral is "tRNA-Thr". It matches the Rfam family "tRNA". From Rfam's summary of the family: Transfer RNA (tRNA) molecules are approximately 80 nucleotides in length. Their secondary structure includes four short double-helical elements and three loops (D, anti-codon, and T loops). The record is from RNAcentral. Lineage: Bacteria; Bacillati; Candidatus Sericytochromatia.
GCCCUUGUAGCUCAGUGGUAGAGCACAUCCUUGGUAAGGAUGAGGUCACGGGUUCAAGUCCCGUCGAGGGCU